AUUGAACGCUGGCGGCAGGCCUAACACAUGCAAGUCGAGCGGAUGAAGGGAGCUUGCUCCUGGAUUCAGCGGCGGACGGGUGAGUAAUGCCUAGGAAUCUGCCUGGUAGUGGGGGAUAACGUCCGGAAACGGGCGCUAAUACCGCAUACGUCCUGAGGGAGAAAGUGGGGGAUCUUCGGACCUCACGCUAUCAGAUGAGCCUAGGUCGGAUUAGCUAGUUGGUGGGGUAAAGGCCUACCAAGGCGACGAUCCGUAACUGGUCUGAGAGGAUGAUCAGUCACACUGGAACGGAGACGCGGUCCAGACUCCUACGGGAGGCAGCAGUGGGGAAUAUUGGACAAUGGGCGAAAGCCUGAUCCAGCCAUGCCGCGUGUGUGAAGAAGGUCUUCGGAUUGUAAAGCACUUUAAGUUGGGAGGAAGGGCAGUAAGUUAAUACCUUGCUGUUUUGACGUUACCAACAGAAUAAGCACCGGCUAACUUCGUG
RNAcentral lists this ribosomal RNA (484 nucleotides) under uncultured bacterium. RNAcentral describes it as "partial 16S ribosomal RNA". It matches the Rfam family "Bacterial small subunit ribosomal RNA", at positions 30 to 507 of the family's 1533-position model. The record is from RNAcentral.